Molecule: ribosomal RNA, 999 nt
Filed under: Stachybotrys sp.
Lineage: Eukaryota; Fungi; Ascomycota; Sordariomycetes; Hypocreales; Stachybotryaceae
Description: SSU rRNA
Rfam family: Eukaryotic small subunit ribosomal RNA
Source: RNAcentral
GCUCAUUAUAUAAGUUAUCGUUUAUUUGAUAGUGCCUUACUACUUGGAUAACCGUGGUAAUUCUAGAGCUAAUACAUGCUACAAGCCCUGACUUCGGAAGGGGCGUAUUUAUUAGAUUAAAAGCCAAUGCCCUCUGGGCUCCUUGGUGAAUCAUGAUAACUUCACGAAUCGCACGGCCUUGCGCCGGCGAUGGCUCAUUCAAAUUUCUUCCCUAUCAACUUUCGAUGUUUGGGUAGUGGCCAAACAUGGUUGCAACGGGUAACGGAGGGUUAGGGCUCGACCCCGGAGAAGGAGCCUGAGACACGGCUACUACAUCCAAGGAAGGCAGCAGGCGCGCAAAUUACCCAAUCCCGAUUCGGGGAGGUAGUGACAAUAAAUACUGAUACAGGGCUCUUUCGGGUCUUGUAAUCGGAAUGAGUACAAUUUAAAUCCCUUAACGAGGAACAAUUGGAGGGCAAGUCUGGUGCCAGCAGCCGCGGUAAUUCCAGCUCCAAUAGCGUAUAUUAAAGUUGUUGUGGUUAAAAAGCUCGUAGUUGAACCUUGGGCCUGGCUGGCCGGUCCGCCUCACCGCGUGUACUGGUCCGGCCGGGCCUUUCCCUCUGUGGAACCUCAUGCCCUUCACUGGGUGUGCUGGGGAAACAGGACUUUUACUUUGAAAAAAUUAGAGUGCUCCAGGCAGGCCUAUGCUCGAAUACAUUAGCAUGGAAUAAUAAAAUAGGACGUGCGGUUUUAUUUUGUUGGUUUCUAAGACCGCCGUAAUGAUUAAUAGGGACAGUCGGGGGCAUCAGUAUUCAAUUGUCAGAGGUGAAAUUCUUGGAUUUAUUGAAGACUAACUACUGCGAAAGCAUUUGCCAAGGAUGUUUUCAUUAAUCAGGAACGAAAGUUAGGGGAUCGAAAACGAUCAGAUACCGUUGUAGUCUUAACCAUAAACUAUGCCGACUAGGGAUCGGACGAUGUUAUUUUUUGACUCGUUCGGCACCUUACGAGAAAUCAAAGUGC